Molecule: ribosomal RNA, 578 nt
Filed under: uncultured fungus
Lineage: Eukaryota; Fungi
Description: eukaryotic LSU rRNA
Rfam family: 5.8S ribosomal RNA (bases 207-360)
Source: RNAcentral
AGUAAAAGUCGUAACAAGGUUUCCGUAGGUGAACCUGCGGAAGGAUCAUUACUGUUUGCUUACGGCUGCCCCUCGGGACAGCCCGUAACGCUCACCCUUUGCCCUUUUCGAACCUGUUUGUUCCCCCUCGCCGGGCUCGCCCGGCGGGGGUCCAUUCAAAAACCUUGCAGUACAGCAGUACCUGUCUGAAAUAUAUCAAAUGUUAAAACUUUCAACAAUGGAUCUCUUGGUUCUGGCAUCGAUGAAGAACGCAGCGAAAUGCGAUAAGUAGUGUGAAUUGCAGAAUUCAGUGAAUCAUCGAAUCUUUGAACGCACAUUGCGCCCCUUGGUAUUCCAUGGGGCAUGCCUGUUCGAGCGUCAUUUGUACCUUCAAGCUCUGCUUGGUGUUGGGUGUUUUGUCUCGCCUCUGCGUGUAGACUCGCCUUAAAACAAUUGGCAGCCGGCGUAUUGAUUUCGGAGCGCAGUACAUCUCGCGCUUUGCACUCAUAACGACGACGUCCAAAAGUACAUUUUUACACUCUUGACCUCGGAUCAGGUAGGGAUACCCGCUGAACUUAAGCAUAUCAAUAAGCGGAGGA